AUUGAACGCUGGCGGAAUGCUUUACACAUGCAAGUCGAACGGUAGAGGGGGCAACCCCUUGAGAGUGGCGAACGGGUGAGUAAUAUAUCGGAACGUGCCCAGUCGUGGGGAUAACGUAGCGAAAGUUACGCUAAUACCGCAUACGAUCUAAGGAUGAAAGCGGGGGAUCGCAAGACCUCGCGCGAUUGGAGCGGCCGAUAUCAGAUUAGGUAGUUGGUGAGGUAAAGGCUCACCAAGCCGACGAUCUGUAGCUGGUCUGAGAGGACGACCAGCCACACUGGGACUGAGACACGGCCCAGACUCCUACGGGAGGCAGCAGUGGGAAUUUUGGACAAUGGGCGCAAGCCUGAUCCAGCAAUGCCGCGUGCAGGAUGAAGGCCUCGGUUGUAAC
This 391-nucleotide ribosomal RNA is filed under the name uncultured bacterium. RNAcentral's name for it is "bacterial SSU rRNA". It matches the Rfam family "Bacterial small subunit ribosomal RNA", at positions 30 to 429 of the family's 1533-position model. The record is from RNAcentral.